Nomascus leucogenys (northern white-cheeked gibbon) is the source of this 2063-nucleotide long non-coding RNA. RefSeq lists it as uncharacterized. NCBI's taxonomy places the organism in Eukaryota, Metazoa, Chordata, Mammalia, Primates, Hylobatidae. The record is from RefSeq and is a predicted model, not a curated record. The transcript is spliced from 2 exons.
UUCAUGUGAUUAUGGAGGCUGGCAAGUCCAAAACCUGCAGGAUGGGCUGGCAGCCUGGAGUCCCAGGUAAAAGCUGAGAUUACAGUUUAAGUCUAAAGACCAUGAGGCUGAAGACCCACAGGAGAGCCGAUGUUGCAGUUCAAGUGUGAAGGCUGUCUGCUGCAGAAUUUACUCCUGCUUGGGGGAAGUCAGUCUUUUUGUUCUAUUCAGGCCAUUAUGGAGGGCAGUCUGUUGUACUCAGUUCCAUUGAUUUAAAUGUUAAUCUUACAGAAAAAGACAUUCACAGAAACAUUCAGAAUAAAAUUGACCACAAAUCUAGGUACUGUAACCCAACCAAGUCGGGUUACCUAAAUCUCUAUACUUGUUUAUUUGGGAAAAAAUCUCCCCCUGGUUGGAAAGAUGAGACAAGAUAUAAAAUUGGCCAUCACAGGGCUAAAUGUGGGUUAUCAAGUAAUGACUGUAUAAUCCUAACCUGAAAACAUUUCUCACUCCCUGCUUCCCACCCUUUCUCUCACCAAUUUGCAACAGAGUAAACAUAUGCUCCUCAACUUACAAUGGAGUUCAGUCCAGUUAAACCUAUCGUAAAGUCAAAUAAUUUUAAGUCGAACCAUCCUAAGUUGGAAUCCGUCUGUAUUGGACACAAUUAUGCAACAUGGAAUGGCUAUGCAUAUGUUUUAGACAGCUAUUGAAACACAGAAUUGAGCAUGGGAAUGGUUAAAUUUCCUAACUGCUGCUUGAAAAAACUCCCGUGGUUUCACGAGAAAAUCAGGUUCCUUGUAUUCCUUUGCAUGAAGCCUAACUUGAUGCUUUUGCUUUUAUACCUCUGAAUUGAUCACAUUGCCCUCAAAAAAAAAUCAAGCUGUGAAAAGACUUGCUCUAAAGGUGAGGCUCACCUCAUCCUGUCUACCUAAGAUAUCCAUGCCUUGAAGGUUCCAUCACUACAAUAUGAGAUAGGAUGGCAGAGGACAAUGUUCAAGUGCUUGGGUUCUGGACUCAGACUGACGUGGAUUUGAAUCCCUACUCUUCCAUUUAUCAGCUGUGUGAUCAUUGGACAUGUUACUUAAUUACUCUGUGUCUUGUCUGCAAAAAAUUGAGGCUAAAAUAUCUACACCACAAAAGGCUAUUAGGAGGAGUCAAGGUGAUAAGCAAGCCAUGGAGGAAACACAAUCUGACAUUCUCAUGGGUUUAACACUGGGACUCAGACAGCUUUUUAGAGAAAGAAUUUUUUUAAAGUGCAGUACAGGAAAGGGGACUGUAUCCAAGAGGUCCAGAAGGGUCGUGUGGACUAGCCACAGAAUUCAGCAAUGGUCUCAUAGGUUGUCAGGGGCCAGUCUCUCAUCUAAUGUAGGUUCAUUCAUUUAUCUGUUCAUUUAACAAAGAUCUGAGAGCUACUACACUCACAGCUUCCUACAUGAUCUAGUUACCCUGGGAAGUACAGAGUCGUAAAUUUGGACAUAUUUCAGAGUGAAAGGGAUGCUAUUAAGAAUUACUAAGGGACAACAGGCAAAAUCAGGACAUAUGGUCACUAUGCUAGGGAAAAUGUCUGGGAUAAGGAAAAAGAGUAAAUUGUCACCCUUUAAAGCUUUUUCUGUGCCCCCACUCACAUCCACACUCAUUCCCCCCUAUUCCAGAGUGACAGUCUAUGAUGAAAGAAGAAGAGUAUUAUAUUCAGUCAAGAAUUAGGACCGAUCACAUUUUGGAGAAGGCAUUGUACUGAAAUUAUUAGAAAAAUAUUAUGAAAAUAGUUGAAGAGAAAUGUAAUGAAAAUAAUUGAAGCUGUGCUUACUGCACAAGGAGACCAAGAAAAACUCCCACAAAAUCAGCUGCAAGUAAAUCCCUCUGGAUGGUGCCGCCAAAUGUUCCUACAAGUCCGGAACAACACUUGCCAAACCAAAGACGCUUGGCAGAACCCUGUUCCUUUCUAGAGACAGAGCUGUGUACCUGUUCCAAAACACCACAUCUCACUCAGUGACUUAUUUCUCAUUAUGCUAAUUGUUUUGCUGUAAAGUGCCAAUGUUGCUGUGAAUUAAGACGUACGAAUAAAUUUCUGAAGUUACCUUUGC